Molecule: ribosomal RNA, 672 nt
Filed under: Prorocentrum lima
Lineage: Eukaryota; Dinophyceae; Prorocentrales; Prorocentraceae
Description: partial large subunit ribosomal RNA
Rfam family: Eukaryotic large subunit ribosomal RNA
Source: RNAcentral
GCAUAUUAGUAGGCGGCGGAAGAUAACCCAAAAGGGAUUCCUUCAGUAAUGGCGAAUGAACGGGGAAAAGCUCAGCAAAGAAAUCAGGGACUCCGGCCUUGAGUUGUGGACUUGAGAGGUAUUGCCAAUGGUGGCGCAGGUGCGGGCCUCUUGGAAAAGGGCACCACAGAGGGUGUGAGUCCUGUUUGUCAUCUGUAGUCCGCCAUGUACGGCAUGCCUCCUCAGAGUCACGUUCCUUGGAAUUGGAGCGCGAAGGUGGUGGUGGCUUUCAUCUCAAGCUAAAUAUGGGUUCGAGACCGAUAGCAAACAAGUACCAUGAGGGAAAAUUGAAAAGAGCUUUGGAAAGAGAGUUAAAAGUGCCCGAACUUGCUGAUAGGGAAGCGAAGGGAGCUGACGUUGCUUGGUGACAUUUUCCGCGCAAGUGUAGGAUGGGUUCUGAUUGCAAUGUGCGUAGUGUUUCUUGCCGUGCGUGUCGAUGCCAAGCAACGAGUGGGGAGAGCACCAGGGAUAAUGAUUGUUUCUGUCCCCGGGUGGACGAAGGUGCCUGGUCGCAUCCAUUUGUGGGCUGAAACAAGUGGUGGCUGGUUGCAGCACUCCAUACCUGCCAAGCAGUUGGGGUGUAGCCCUGAUACGCAGACGAGGACAAAGUGCUUCUGUUCGACCCGUCUUGAA